RNAcentral lists this unclassified non-coding RNA (253 nucleotides) under uncultured Gemmatimonadota bacterium. RNAcentral describes it as "uncultured Gemmatimonadetes bacterium contains 16S-23S intergenic spacer region". It matches the Rfam family "Bacterial small subunit ribosomal RNA", at positions 524 to 776 of the family's 1533-position model. Lineage: Bacteria; Pseudomonadati; Gemmatimonadota. The record is from RNAcentral.
GACGGAGGGCGCGAGCGUUGUUCGGAAUUACUGGGCGUAAAGCGCGCGCAGGCGGGCGGACACGUCGGAAGUGAAAGUCCGGGGCUCAACCCCGGAACCGCUUCCGAUACGGUCUGCCUUGGGACCGGUAGAGGCCGGUGGAAUUCCCGGUGUAGCGGUGGAAUGCGUAGAUAUCGGGAAGAACACCAGUGGCGAAGGCGGCCGGCUGGGCCGGAUCCGACGCUGAGGCGCGAAAGCGUGGGGAGCAAACAGG